Molecule: ribosomal RNA, 241 nt
Filed under: Klebsiella pneumoniae subsp. pneumoniae KPNIH9
Lineage: Bacteria; Pseudomonadati; Pseudomonadota; Gammaproteobacteria; Enterobacterales; Enterobacteriaceae
Description: partial 16S ribosomal RNA
Rfam family: Bacterial small subunit ribosomal RNA
Source: RNAcentral
ACUUAAAUUGAAGAGUUUGAUCAUGGCUCAGAUUGAACGCUGGCGGCAGGCCUAACACAUGCAAGUCGAGCGGUAGCACAGAGAGCUUGCUCUCGGGUGACGAGCGGCGGACGGGUGAGUAAUGUCUGGGAAACUGCCUGAUGGAGGGGGAUAACUACUGGAAACGGUAGCUAAUACCGCAUAAUGUCGCAAGACCAAAGUGGGGGACCUUCGGGCCUCAUGCCAUCAGAUGUGCCCAGAU